UACGGAGGGGGCGAGCGUUAUUCGGAAUUAUUGGGCGUAAAGGGCGCGUAGGCGGCUGUACAAGUCAAAGGUGAAAUCCCUCGGCUCAACUGAGGAACUGCCUUUGAAACUGUACGGCUUGAGGCCGGGAGGGGGUAGCGGAAUUCCCAGUGUAGCGGUGAAAUGCGUAGAUAUUGGGAGGAACACCAGUGGCGAAGGCGGCUACCUGGCUCAUUUCUGACGCUCAGGCGCGACAGCGUGGGGAUCAAACAGG
This 253-nucleotide ribosomal RNA is filed under the name uncultured bacterium. Its description in RNAcentral is "partial 16S ribosomal RNA". It matches the Rfam family "Bacterial small subunit ribosomal RNA", at positions 524 to 776 of the family's 1533-position model. The record is from RNAcentral.